CCUACGGGAGGCUGCAGUGAGGAAUAUUGGUCAAUGGACGAGAGUCUGAACCAGCCAAGUAGCGUGAAGGAUGAAUGCCCUAUGGGUUGUAAACUUCUUUUAUAAAGGAAUAAAACGAGGCACGUGUGCCCUUUUGCAUGUACUUUAUGAAUAAGGAUCGGCUAACUCCGUGCCAGCAGCCGCGGUAAUACGGAGGAUCCGAGCGUUAUCCGGAUUUAUUGGGUUUAAAGGGAGCGUAGAUGGGUUGUUAAGUCAGUUGUGAAAGUUUGCGGCUCAACCGUAAAAUUGCAAUUGAUACUGGCAGUCUUGAGUACAGUUGAGGUAGGCGGAAUGCGUGGUGUAGCGGUGAAAUGCUUAGAUAUCACGAAGAACCCCGAUUGCGAAGGCAGCUUACUAAACUGUGACUGACAUUGAUGCUCGAAAGUGUGGGUAUCAAACAGGAUUAGAUACCCUAGUAGUC
This 460-nucleotide ribosomal RNA is filed under the name uncultured bacterium. Its description in RNAcentral is "partial 16S ribosomal RNA". It matches the Rfam family "Bacterial small subunit ribosomal RNA", at positions 338 to 795 of the family's 1533-position model. The record is from RNAcentral.